Molecule: ribosomal RNA, 1203 nt
Filed under: Triticum aestivum (bread wheat)
Lineage: Eukaryota; Viridiplantae; Streptophyta; Magnoliopsida; Poales; Poaceae
Description: partial small subunit ribosomal RNA
Source: RNAcentral
AUGGAAGCUCCGGCUCCAGAUUGGUCCGAGCUGCCCGCCGACAUACUGUGCGACGUGCUCACGCUGCUCGAGUGCCCGGACCUCCUCCGAGCCGGCGCCGUCUACGCGGCCUGGCACAUGGCGUACUCCAGGCUACGCCGCGCCGGCAUCUACCCCGUCCGCCAAACCCCCUGCUUACUCUACUGCAACGAGGCCGCCGGCGGGCUCAACGCCCUCGGCAUGUACAUUCUUUCCGAGAAAAAGGCAUAUACCAUGCCGCUCCCUGAAUCUUCCAUCAAGAACUGGAUCGGCUCGUCGCACGGAUGGCUAGUCACUAUGGAUGACAAGUCCGAGCUGAUGCUGCUCAACCCGAUCACCGGCAACACUAAUGUACUCCCUCGAAUUACAACCAUGGAGCAUGUUAAACCUGUCCUAAACGGUCAUGGGGUUCUUGAAAAGUGUGGAUGCAUCGUCAUGCUCAUCCACCAGCCGUACGGCCAGCUCUUGUUUGCCAAGGUAGGAGAUGACCAUUGGAAUUGGCUCAGCGUAUGCAGCUACUACAAAGAUUGUGUAUACCACAACGGGUGGUUCUAUGCGGUUACCGAAGAAGGCGCGAUUGAUGCAUACAAUUUACAUGGACCAUCUGUCAUCCACAAAAGGUUGUUACCCCAAAUAAUCCAGACAGUUUCGAAAUAAUGUCACAUUGUUCAGGCAGAAUGGGGAGAUGUCCUCCAAAUCAUUAGGAAGGAGAUUCUCGAUCCUGAACGACCGGACAGUCAUACGUGGAUCCCUGAAAUCAAAGUGUACAGGGUUGAUUUUGAUAAGGAGAAGUGUGUCAGCAUAACAGAUAUAGGGGACUAUGCGUUGUUCAUUGGGAGCAGCACAACGUCUUGCUUAAGCGUCAAGGACUAUCCAGACUUGAUGCCAAACCAUGUCUAUUUCACUGAUGAUGACGUCGGAGCACACAUACUCGAGAAAGACUACCCUCCCAAAGUUGGGAUUUACAACAUUAUAAAUAAUACCACGGUGAAUGUGGUUCAUCCUGAACUUUGGAUGAAUUGGUUGCCCCCCAUAUGGUUGACGCCGAGUCUUGAGAAAACGGGUAUGGUUCUACUUGUCCCUUUAUCUACUAUGGAAAAUGCUGCUUGUUGUAUAUCCCAAUCUCUGAGCAGCAUUUAUUUAUGUGUUAUUUUUCCUAGUGCUGUUAAAAGUUUUGCCAUGUAA